Molecule: ribosomal RNA, 467 nt
Filed under: uncultured bacterium
Lineage: Bacteria
Description: partial 16S ribosomal RNA
Rfam family: Bacterial small subunit ribosomal RNA
Source: RNAcentral
GACGAACGCUGGCGGCGUGCUUAACACAUGCAAGUCGAACGGAAAGGCCCUGCUUUUGUGGGGUGCUCGAGUGGCGAACGGGUGAGUAACACGUGAGUAAACCGCACCUGUCUUAGGGAUAAAUUCUGGAAACUCGGGCUAAUACAGGAUAGGAGAUCCUGCUGCACGGUGGGGGUUGGAAAGAUGCGGCGGUUGGGGAUGGACUCGCGGGUUAUCAGCUUGUUGGUGGGGUAGUGGAUUAGCAAGGCUUUGACGGGUAGCCGGCCUGGGAGGGUGACCGGCCACAUUGGCAUAGGGGUACGGCCCGUACGCCUACGGGAGGAAGGGGUGGGGACUAGUGGACAAUGGGCGGAGGGCGGGUGGAGCAUCUCCGCGUGCGAGAUGUCUGCUUUCAGGGUGUAAACCGCGUUCGCGUGUGACGAAGCGUGUGGAAGGUAAAUAGGUAGAGAAGCACCGGCAAACUACUG